ACCGCUCCUGCCAGCUCGUAUGUUGCCAAACCUCGUUCCGUACCUCUUUGGCGAGUUGCUUGUCUCCGGUAAGAAAGCUUUCAGAUGGUUCGAUCUGGUUGAUCUUGUCUCCACUGGUUCGAGUUGCUAAACAGCCCUGUUAACAAAAACCUAAAGGAGAUCACUAAAACACUGUGGAACAAGAUAAAAAACAUCGCGC
Molecule: long non-coding RNA, 199 nt
Filed under: Populus trichocarpa (black cottonwood)
Lineage: Eukaryota; Viridiplantae; Streptophyta; Magnoliopsida; Malpighiales; Salicaceae
Description: long non-coding RNA (PTRI_LNC001753)
Source: RNAcentral